GUCGAGCGGUAAGGCCCUUCGGGGUACACGAGCGGCGAACGGGUGAGUAACACGUGGGUGAUCUGCCCUGCACUUCGGGAUAAGCCUGGGAAACUGGGUCUAAUACCGGAUAUGACCUUCGGCUGCAUGGCUGAGGGUGGAAAGGUUUACUGGUGCAGGAUGGGCCCGCGGCCUAUCAGCUUGUUGGUGGGGUAAUGGCCUACCAAGGCGACGACGGGUAGCCGACCUGAGAGGGUGACCGGCCACACUGGGACUGAGACACGGCCCAGACUCCUACGGGAGGCAGCAGUGGGGAAUAUUGCACAAUGGGCGAAAGCCUGAUGCAGCGACGCCGCGUGAGGGAUGACGGCCUUCGGGUUGUAAACCUCUUUCAGCAGGGACGAAGCGAAAGUGACGGUACCUGCAGAAGAAGCACCGGCCAACUACGUGCCAGCAGCCGCGGUAAUACGUAGGGUGCAAGCGUUGUCCGGAAUUACUGGGCGUAAAGAGCUCGUAGGCGGUUUGUCGCGUCGUCUGUGAAAACUCGAGGCUCAACCUCGAGCUUGCAGGCGAUACGGGCAGACUUGAGUACUGCAGGGGAGACUGGAAUUCCUGGUGUAGCGGUGAAAUGCGCAGAUAUCAGAGGAACACCGGUGGCG
RNAcentral lists this ribosomal RNA (638 nucleotides) under Rhodococcus wratislaviensis. Its description in RNAcentral is "bacterial SSU rRNA". It matches the Rfam family "Bacterial small subunit ribosomal RNA", at positions 61 to 717 of the family's 1533-position model. Lineage: Bacteria; Bacillati; Actinomycetota; Actinomycetes; Mycobacteriales; Nocardiaceae. The record is from RNAcentral.